Long non-coding RNA from Xiphophorus hellerii (green swordtail), 541 nucleotides. RefSeq lists it as uncharacterized. The record is from RefSeq and is a predicted model, not a curated record. The transcript has 4 exons. NCBI's taxonomy places the organism in Eukaryota, Metazoa, Chordata, Actinopteri, Cyprinodontiformes, Poeciliidae.
GUAGGUUCUCACUUCUAUCUCACUGAUUCCCAGUGAGAUAAAUGAAGACAGAUUCUUCUCCUGGGUUCAUGUCAAUGUUUUCUCUGUCAGUGUGAACUAGAAGCAGCUCCACAGAGAUGAAAACAGCCGCAGAGACUCUGAGCGGAGCUAACGAUGCUAACGAUGCUAACAGGCUCAGGCAGCAGCUUCAGAGGAGCUGUGGCUCCUAAACUGGAGCUUCAGCUCCAACAGAGCUGAAUCAAAGCUCUACAACUCUGGUUUAGACGAUAAGAUGCUGAGCUUCCGGUCUGAAGAUCAGCCUCCAUUUUGAGCUGCAGGAUGGAAAUAACUUGCUGACUUGUUACUAGAGUCCAGAAGAUGGAAGAUCAGGACAGAGCAGAACCUCCAGGACCCAUCAGUCCAUCUAUGAGGAGUGACCGGUCCAAAGAUGAUCCUCCAAACUUCAGUAAUGAACCUGGACCAUCAGACAGAAAGAGCUGUGAGUGUGAAGAAAGACCCAGAACAGGAGCUGAACGGCCGACAGCCAAUCAGAGCAGCUGUU